CGGCGUCGCGCGUCGGUACGCGCGCGUGUGUACACGUCUUGCACGUGUAGGUAUGCGUUGCCACCGGUGAACCGAGAGACAACACACUCCACAUCAGCAUCGAGGAGAGACCACCUUCCCUGAGAUCACCAUGUCACACUGCGCUAAAUGUCAUCGGGUCCCCCGUUGGAGGAUGCUUGCUCAAUUGUCACAAUUUCUUCAACGACGAGCCGCUUUGCGGGGAUCCGCUUUUCUUUUCCGUCGACUAUAGUCGGACGGAAGCUCGGACACGAUUGUUGCUGAUAACUUUCUCUAAUAGGUUCUCUAACAGCAACUGCAUGGUGUUGAGGCAUUGCUCCCGUCAACGUAUCUGAAACUGUCAAUCGCAGUAAUUCGAGACCGAGGUGUGAUCUACGUGGCGGCAGAGCCCGAGAGAUCUACGAUGAUCGAGCCGGCGAUUAGAUAUUUCGAGGUGCAUCCAAUCGUUGCAUCCGCUGAUUGCGAGACUCGUAUGCAGAUUCCGGCGCGGAUACUACGAGGUACGGGCUUGUAGAGAUGUAGGGGACUUCGAUUGGUCGGCAUAUACAAGGUUAUCCUCCUCGGGAUGCUGGGAGAUGUAUUCCAAGGCUUUCAGGAUGGCAUCGGGAAUCGGAGGCGCGACCGGCAGAUGCUCG
Molecule: long non-coding RNA, 653 nt
Organism: Monomorium pharaonis (pharaoh ant)
Lineage: Eukaryota; Metazoa; Arthropoda; Insecta; Hymenoptera; Formicidae
Exons: 4
Source: RefSeq, a predicted model, not a curated record